This is a long non-coding RNA of Mus musculus (house mouse), 1063 nucleotides long. RefSeq annotates it as predicted gene 16344. The record is from RefSeq and is a predicted model, not a curated record. The transcript is spliced from 4 exons. NCBI's taxonomy places the organism in Eukaryota, Metazoa, Chordata, Mammalia, Rodentia, Muridae.
ACUUAGGAGUUCUCCCAGCCACGUGCCAUCAACACUAGCCAGCAUCAGAGGCAGCUGACACUGAGAUGUCUUGACUUGGAAAUCUUGUGAAUGUGCAGAGCAGUUUAAGACAAACUUAGGAAGGCCCAGGCCCAGCCAUAUUGUAAAGAAGAGACUGGCAGGUGUCCAACAAGCUGCUGUUAGAGUAUUCUCCUCCUCCACAAGAGUCCUCUGCCCUGUGUUUUCUGCCGACUUGUUCCUACUCCACUGAUGCUUGAAUGCGCUGGCUUUUUAACUUACCCUCCAGUUCGGGAUACGAGAUCAGACGAUGGGGGUAAAACAGGGAAAUGUCCACAGUAAGCACUGCUCUUACCAGCCGGAACACGGACAUCCCAGGUCAGCAGUUCCUUCAGCCUGUAGGAGGAAAAGCAAAAGGUCAGCCCCAUCGCCUAUCAGUCUGGAGCCCUAAAGAACAGGUGCCGUGUGAACUGUCAGCCUGUCCUCAAGUAUUUUGAUUGGAGUUUGCCUCCAGGAACAGCUCUGACUAGCUGGAGGACUGAGCCACAUUCCUGGUCUACCUUCUGCUCUGAGGAAGUCCUGUCUCUAUACCCUCUGCUCUGAGGAACUGUGACCAUCUGUCAAAAUGCUGAGAAGACCUUCAGCAAGUCUCCAUUCUUUAAAGGGAGGCUGGUCCCUCUGUUCAUCUCAUGGAACCUGGAGAGAUAUUGGAAAGAAAAGACAUAGAGGACCCUGAUACCACCUUGGUCAGUCCUUUCCAACCAACAGAACAAGAACUACCUUUCAGAUCUCCUUCCUGCUGUUUAUUCUGUACAUGUUGGUCUGUUGAAUUACAAAGAAGAAAUCCAUAGGGGCUAGUGAGUUAAAAAGGGCAAGGAUUCUUGCGGCCAAGCCUGAUGACCUGAGUUCAAUACUUAGUCCCCAUGUUGUAGAAUGAGGCAACUGACUUCCAAAAGUUAUUCUCAGACCUUCACAUGUGGCACUGUAUGCUCCCUGUCAGGUACAAUAAAUAAACAAAUAUUUAUAAAAAUGGAGAGCAAGGUCUGGAGAGAUGGUACAAUGGUUA